AUUAGGCAUGGUGGUGCAUGCCUGUAGUCCCAGCUACUCAGGAGGCUGAGGCAGGGAAAUCACUUGAAUCCGGGAGGCAGAGGUUGCAGUGAGCCAAGAUCAUGCCACUGCACUCCAACCUGGCGACAGAGCGAGACUUCANNNNNNNNNNUGAAGUCUCGCUCUGUCGCCAGGUUGGAGUGCAGUGGCAUGAUCUUGGCUCACUGCAACCUCUGCCUCCCGGAUUCAAGUGAUUUCCCUGCCUCAG
This 247-nucleotide signal recognition particle RNA is filed under the name Chlorocebus sabaeus (green monkey). RNAcentral's name for it is "Metazoan signal recognition particle RNA". It matches the Rfam family "Metazoan signal recognition particle RNA". From Rfam's summary of the family: The signal recognition particle (SRP) is a universally conserved ribonucleoprotein. The record is from Rfam by way of RNAcentral. Lineage: Eukaryota; Metazoa; Chordata; Mammalia; Primates; Cercopithecidae.